Molecule: ribosomal RNA, 116 nt
Filed under: Pseudomonas putida
Lineage: Bacteria; Pseudomonadati; Pseudomonadota; Gammaproteobacteria; Pseudomonadales; Pseudomonadaceae
Also listed under: 2 other names
Source: RNAcentral
CUUGACGACCAUAGAGCAUUGGAACCACCUGAUCCCAUCCCGAACUCAGCAGUGAAACGAUGCAUCGCCGAUGGUAGUGUGGGGGUUCCCCAUGUGAGAGUAGGUCAUCGUCAAGA